RNAcentral lists this ribosomal RNA (40 nucleotides) under Cystobasidium minutum. Its description in RNAcentral is "partial 28S ribosomal RNA". Lineage: Eukaryota; Fungi; Basidiomycota; Cystobasidiomycetes; Cystobasidiales; Cystobasidiaceae. The record is from RNAcentral.
UAGAUCUCAAAUCAGUCAGGACUACCCGCUGAACUUAAGC